UUUCCGUAGGUGAACCUGCGGAGGGAUCAUUACAACGUAUCCAACGUAUAAACCUUUGUGAACUUCGUUUUACCAAAAACCAUCUAUCGAAAGUUGUGAACAGGACGAGAGGGAAAUGCUCGGCCGGUUCAUGCAUACACUUUCUUUGGGUGUGCGUUUCCCAUUUACCAAUUAUUUAACCUUUUGUAAACUUCAAUUUGUAUAUAAAAUUUUCCUUAUGAGAAAUCGUAUGGGAAAGUUUCUUAUUUAUUUAAGAAAUUAUACGCACAACUCUUAGCAACGGAUAUCUAGGCUCUCGUAUCGAUGAAGAACGCAGCGAAAUGCGAUACGUAAUGCGAAUUGCAGAAUUCAGUGAAUCAUCAAAUCUUUGAACGCAUCUUGCGCUUCUGGGAAUCCCUGGGAGCAUAUUUUUCUGAGUAUCGUUUCACCACCUCCGCCUCUGCGUCCUUUACUGUGACGUCAGUAGUGUGGGUUAAUGGCGGUUUGACUUUCGCGGUCAAUCCACUGAAAUGUAUACUGCUUCAGUAUCUUCAAUUUGAGCUCCUCAAAAAAGCUCACGUUGUCGAUGUUUGAUACUUGACCUUUGGUCAUCACAUUAUCUACAUUGGCAAUGCUGAAGAACCACUGAUUGGCAGGUUCAAGGUACGUAGACAGACACCUCACGGUGCCUAUCUCAAUUCUUGAUCUCAGAUAAAGUAAGAGAACCCGCCGAAUUUAAGCAUAUCAAUAAGCGGAGGA
RNAcentral lists this ribosomal RNA (738 nucleotides) under uncultured fungus. RNAcentral's name for it is "eukaryotic LSU rRNA". The stretch from base 269 to 422 matches the Rfam family "5.8S ribosomal RNA". The record is from RNAcentral. Lineage: Eukaryota; Fungi.